CCACAUCAUGUACGAUCACCAGAGUUAAGCAAGGUCGAGGCUGGUCAGUACUUAGAUGGGUGACGGCUUCGGAAUACCAGGUGUUGUAAG
This is a non-coding RNA of Acanthosepion pharaonis, 90 nucleotides long. NCBI's taxonomy places the organism in Eukaryota, Metazoa, Mollusca, Cephalopoda, Sepiida, Sepiidae. The record is from the annotation of a GenBank genome assembly.